CCUACGGGGGGCUGCAGUGGGGAAUAUUGCGCAAUGGGCGAAAGCCUGACGCAGCGACGCCGCGUGAGGGAUGAAGGUCCUCGGAUCGUAAACCUCUGUCAGCAUGGAAGAACGGUCACUGUGCUAAUCAGCAGUGAAUUGACGGUACCUGCAAAGGAAGCACCGGCUAACUCGGUCCCAGCAGCCGCGGUAAUACGGAGGGUGCGGGCGUUAAACGGAAUUACUGGGCGUAAAGCGCUCGUAGGCGGUAUGUCAAGUCAAGGGUGAAAGCCCCGCGCUCAACGUGGGAACUGCCGUUGAAACUGGCAAACUAGAGUAUGUGAGAGGAUAGUGGAAUUCCAGGUGUAGGAGUGAAAUCCGUAGAUAUCUGGAGGAACAUCAGUGGCGAAGGCGACUAUCUGGCCCAUAACUGACGCUGAGGAGCGAAGGCGUGGGUAGCAAACGGGAUUAGAUACCCCAGUUGUC
This 465-nucleotide ribosomal RNA is filed under the name uncultured bacterium. Its description in RNAcentral is "partial 16S ribosomal RNA". It matches the Rfam family "Bacterial small subunit ribosomal RNA", at positions 338 to 795 of the family's 1533-position model. The record is from RNAcentral.